This 1428-nucleotide long non-coding RNA is filed under the name Pan troglodytes (chimpanzee). RNAcentral's name for it is "long non-coding RNA NONPTRT017139". Lineage: Eukaryota; Metazoa; Chordata; Mammalia; Primates; Hominidae. The record is from RNAcentral.
CUGUCGAGCAGCGGAGUGUGGAUGUGCAGGUGCUUCACGGCCACCUGGACGCGCCAGUCUGCGUGGCGGGCGGACGACACAGUGCCAGAGGCGCCGCGGCUCAGGUAGCGCAGGUCGGCGAGUUUGUGGUAGGGAAUGGUGGGCAGGGCGCUGCAGAUGGCCUCCCCGUUCAUGGUCCCGGGCGCUCAGGCCGGUUCCGGGUGUGCCCCCUGCUGCGGCGGCUCCCAAGGCUCCCCCGCCGCGCUCAGGCGCCCAGAUACGCCCCUGCACGAGCGAGGCCGGCAAGACCCUUUUUGCCCCGCAACACUAGGUCACGAGGGCGCCCAUUCCCCGGAUGGCCCACGCCAGCCGCUGCUUCUCCGAACCAGAGCUGACUUCUUUUCUAGAGACUGGUGCCAACGCCGUAGCGCCGCGAAAGAGCUUCCUCUCUCGCAGCCCCGGCCCUCCCCGGCGCGCGCAGCGACCAGCUCCGGCCGCCCGAGCUCCUCCCUCCCCAAACUUCGCAGGUUACGUCAGCGGCGGACAGCAAGGCGGGGAGAGGGGCAGCCCGCUCGCGGCCCUCCCGCCUGGCUCUCCUCGGCCUGCGGCCGGGAUCCUCCGCCCGGGUCGCGCAGCCGAGGCCGAGGGCUGGGGCGGGCGGCUGGGAAGUGGGAAAGGGAGCCAGAGGCGCUCCUUUUGUCUUCUCUUCCCAUCCCCCAGGUUUGGGAAAGUUUUACUUUUGGGAAAGCCCCUCUCUUCAUCCUGCUGGCGGGUGUCGGAUUGGUUAGCGGCCACCGGCCCCCGCCGCCCCCAACAGGAUUCUCCUUUGGGCCACAGGUCUUCCGGAAGUUGCCAAACCCCGGUAGUGGCAGCGUCCGGCUGGGGGCUUUAUUAGGGGGCACCGGGGUCUGCUUUCCGACUCCCUUCCGACUCUGCGCCUGCGCAGGAAGCUUUUUGGGGAGUGUUGUGAAUUCCGAGGGCUCCACACUUAAAAGGUUGUACACUCACCUGUCUACCUGGACUCCAAUUUCCAUAUUUCCAGCCACUUGAGGACUGAGAGGUGGAUGAUAAACCCUGUCAUAGUGGAGCAAGUUCAGGUGUUUAACCGCUGUUACGGGGGAUCUGCCUUUUCUCCCUCUCCUUUCUUACUUCCAUGAGUAUGUAUGUGCAGAGAUUGAAAAAUGACCUUGAGAGAGUCCAUCCAUCUAACUCCAGGAGGAAAGACCAAAAAAGGAUAAAACACACCAAAGUUUGUUCAAUCCAGCCAGUCCCCAGCAAAGACCUAAAAGAAUGAAUUCAUUUUCUGGAAACAUUGCAGCGUUAUAAGAGAAAUUAUAGACUAUUUGUUGAAGCUCAGCGUGUCCAUCUCCCUGCUUUGAAGAAGGAUGUUGGGAACUGACUGUAAGGAAGACAGGAUUGGAGAACCAGGUUUAGAAGAGAAAAGGCAGU